UUUCCUUUUCCCUCCCAUUAUUUUCCCAAAAUUUAAACCCCGCCCUUAGGAUUCUUUUGCCAAAAUUUUCAAACCCUCAGGCGGUCCAGUUAACUUCCUGAAUUAUUUACCAAAAAAAACAAAAAGCGCUAAUUAUUCUAGAGAGAUGAGAUAGACCGAAAGAAACUCGUGAGUAGAGAAGACAAAGAUUGAGAAGAAACUCAUGAAUAGGGUUUAGUUAUUGACGGAUUAGAUCUCUAAUUUGCAAGUAUUUUUGUGCAAUUUCACGCAAGGUCUAGCAAUUGGUUGCAAAUUCUGACAAGAAAGCUCCAAAAGUCUGCAACAAAUUCUAUACAACCACGACGAAGGAAGGGGACGACGAAAGAAGGGGACGAAUAAGGAAGGAGACGGGCCAUCCCACUGUAAUCCCAUACCACAGAUUCAAAAACUCUCACCAGAUUUGUUAUUUCAAUCAAAUUUCUGGCCGAAUUUCAUGAAUUACGUUUAGGGUUUGCCUAUUUGGGAUUUUGAUGAUUUGCAAUGACGGAGUUUAAUACUUUAACAUAUCUGCUCUUUGCAAUUUCAAUGGGUUCACUUUAUUUCAAAGAUGAAUUUGAUUUAGGGCAGUAGGGUUCUAGGUGGUGUUUUUUCUGUGAAAGUAGUGGAACUGUUGUCUGCUAGUAUUUCAGUUGGAUGGUGGGUGCAGUUGGAUGGCUUCUUGCUGUUAUUUUAUGGCGUGUUCUUUGGUCAGCUUGCCAUUUUGUUUUGUUGCUUCUUCUUUAGUUUGAGUGCCUGGUGUAUUGUUUUCUUAUUUAGAUUCAGUGAUUGGAAUUUCAAAUUUAUUGGAAUCAUGUGUGUUUUACAUGUAGCUUAUGAUCUGUCCUCUCCUUUAGGCAUGUAAUUAUUCUGGCUGCUUGUUUUAUUCUCUGGAAACAACACACUAUUAUGAUCUUGGUGAUUCAGAUUUCGAGCAAUUGAUGUGAACAAUGGAGGAAUUUGUGUUUUUAACUUCAAUAAAACGGGAGAAGCUAUGCUUCAUUCUCUGAACAUGACUGCCCACAUGUACACCGAUCACACUUAUAUGUACUGAAUCGUGUUGCUGCUCUUGAACUGGAAGGGGGCUCACUAGAGAUUAACUCAAUAUAUGUGUAAAUAGAUGUUGUCCUAGCAUGAACAUUCUGAUCCCUUACAUACCUACAAUACAUUAAUACAUUGAUUUCAAUUGGCUGUAAUGCUCUAAUAGUUUGUGGCAAUUCACUGUCACUUGUCGCCGUUGUCGGUUUUAAAGAUGCCACUGCUUAUAUAUAUGAGGAGAUACUGGGGAUUUAGCAACUGAUAUAUUUAGUUAAAUAGUUUCAUGUCUUCCUCUUGUUUUAGUUUUCUUCGAUUUUCAGGAUAGACUUCCUUCUUUUUUAACUUCUAUUAUCUCCAUUGAUCUAAACUUAUUUUCUCCAAUUUGAGUGGCCCUGAUAUGAACUUAUUUAAGGUCGUGUUGUGUUCUAUUUUCCGUUUAAAUAAGGGUCGGUAAAGUUUUCAAAAUGUUCCAUGGGAUAGGCUGUAAGGUAUUGUUAACUUUUAUUUUAGUUUUUAAUACGAAGUAUAAUUAUUAUUUUUUGUUAUAAUCUGGUUUAGAACAACAAACUAUACAAAUUAGUAAGCUGUUAGUGUUAUCUAUAUGUGAAGUAAAAAAAUCAUCAAAGAGUUUUGUUAUUUUGGUCAAGUAAUCAUCAUGAUUUAUUUAAGUUGUUGAUAUACUGUGAGUUGUAUAUGGUAUUGAUAUUUUGUUUCAAUUUUUAUUAAAUUUUGUUUGUGUGGUAAUUUGCGAGCGCACUGGAGUGUGGUGAUUUAGAAAAUAAUGUAGUUAGUUUUACUUUAGGGGAUGAGAAGUAAACCAUCAAAUUGUUUAGAAAUUUUAGUUUGAAUGUGGUGAUAUGAAGCGAGUGCAGACUAGAGUAUGCAGUAUAUUGAGCUAGCUUCGACAUUAUAACUGUAGUGUGAGUUACUUUUGUUUGGAUGUUAUUGUUGAGCGUUGUCAUGUUCUCAAUCUUGCGAAAAACUACACGCUAAAGUAAUUGAUUAGCUUAAAUCAUAGGUUUCAAUUUCCUUGUUGAUUUUAUCAUUUUGUGAAGGUAUCUUGUGGUGCUUAACUCUUACAGUACCUUCCUUAGUCAGUUAGAAAGGGCUAAAGAAUUAAAUAGAGUAAGUUUAUGCUUUUUUUCUUUUUUGUUUUACUAAAUUUUGGUGUGCUUUCUUCAGAUGCUUUUGCAAUUAGUAUGAAGGAUUAUGGAUUAGUACUUUAUGCGAAGGGUGAAAAAUUAUGGAGGACUAUAAAUUAGUUUCCUAAUUAACAUUUCACUUAGUACCUUUAAUCCCCUCGAUCUCUUACAGGGCCCUGUUUUCCUCUUGCUUAAGGAUUGUUUUUUGGCAAUAAUUGGUUUAUGAUGUUCAGAAAAGAGUAGGCACAAAUAGUAAUGGUUUAUGAUUGUAUUUCCUAAAAUGCCAAGCUUCAAUUGAUUUGAGUGGUAGCCUGGUAGGGAUUAGGGAGGUGAUGAAAGAACAUAACUACUUAUAUCUUAGCUAUUCAUAUUUAUGAUCUGAUUUAAUGUCAAUGAACUUGAGAUAGUCUUGGUAAAAUGAUGAGAGACUGCUGGUCAAUCAGGCACUAGUUCACUACUUCAUUAUAGCGGUUUUCAUACUAGUCAAUUGUAAUGCACCUUUGAUUUUCGUUUGAAAGUUGCAAUCUUAUAUAAUAAUAAGAAUGUUAGUGGCUUAUGUGAGGCCUCCGAAUCCCCAAUUGAACAAUUCUGUGCAAUCCCGCCAAAACCAUUAAAAUAACUGUAAUACCUUCAAACUCUAAUCUUCAAAAUUUAAAUACGUACUCCUUGAAGCCAAAACCAUUAAAAUAAUUGUUCCACGUUAUCUCUAAAAAAAUCAAGUGUCGUCUGUCCUUUCUCUCUAUUCCGUCUCCUCUCAAAUUUCUGUAUAUUCUGUGUACUUUAGGAAUUUGUGCCAGCAAGCUCAUCUUCAUUAUAUAGAGAUGUGCAUAUUGCAUCUAAAUAUCUUUUUGUCAUUCCAAUGCUUUGAACUUUUGCUUUCAAAACUCAAGGAAUGGCUUGGAGAAGGUUAUGAUUCAGAUGUUUCUUUUGCAAGCGCUCUUGAUCUGAAACAUUUGCAGGAGGGAAUAAUGAUCCUUUAGGUAUUUCUUUUGGAGGUAGGGCACCUCAGAUUCUCCACUCCUCUAUAUUAAACUAUAACCCCUCUCUCUGAUGGUUGUUUUUUUGAGUAUAUGGAUUUUGUUUCGGGAGUCUCUAAAUUGUUUUUUUGGUGUAUCAUAUUUCAAAAAUGAAACAGAAAAGGCACCCUUUUUCAUUUUCAUGUGUAAAUCUGAUUUCAGGCCCUGUCAUGGCAAAAUUUACUAUCGCGUUAAGAGCUUUUCUUGAUGACUGCGAGCUUUGACAUUUCAGGCCCUCUCAAGUCUCUCUUUCCUUUUUUUGUUAUGACUGCGAGCUUUUCUUGAUGUUUUGCGGUUGAAUGCAAUAUUUUCUGGAAUUAUCAUACCGAUGUUGUAAUUUGAACUAAGAAUGUGAUAGCUGAAUGCUAGAACUGACCGAACUUGAACGUUUAUUUUUAUCGUUUUGUCUCCGUAUUAACCUACAUAUAUUCCAUUUUCUGGUUUUUAAAGGUUCAAAUUCGCAUUGUGAUGACCUUCAUGUUUCGGCAAAUGGAUGACAGGAUUGUCACUGUGAUGUACCAAUUGUUCCUUUUGUCUUCUAUGUCAUAAAAUAUACAACUUAACUACUGGAAGAAAGUAGAGCCCUAAACAAAUAAGUACAUCACAGCAUUAGCCUAUACACAAAGGUCCAAAUUCUGAAACAAUAGCUUUUUAUAUGCAGUUGUCGACUCUUAAGCCUUUAUAGUAUCGUUUUCUCAAUCUUUCCUUGCACAUUAAAGAAUAUUUGAGUUUCCAUGUUUACAUAAUAGGUUUGCAUGUGCUGUGUGCUACAAUUUUGAAGAUACAAGGGCAUCAACCUUUGCUAGCUGAUCGAUAAUGGAUGGUCGCUUCUGGAGCUGGUAAAUGAUGACUGAAUGUUUAAUCCUGCAAACAAUAUGCUUCUUCUGGAAAGGGCACUCAUAUUUGAGGAGAAAAAUGAAGGACACGAUUUUUUGAGAGUAUAGGAGUAUGGUGAGCUAAAUGGAGAAGAAAUGUAGAUCUAGCAAUGACACGGUGGAGGCUCUUGUUUGUUUUUGAGUCAUUUUGUGAUUUCUAGUAAUGUACGUUGAAUUUGUUUAUGUGGAUUUUAAUUUUAUGCUUUUUGUCAUUAAAAGCACUAAAUUAAUUAGUGAACGACUAUUUGGUAAUGCAUGUGUCCUAUUGGCACUAAUAUUGUAAUAUUAUUCUUUAAGUCAAUGAAAAUCUUUUAUUAUUGA
Molecule: long non-coding RNA, 4407 nt
Organism: Spinacia oleracea (spinach)
Lineage: Eukaryota; Viridiplantae; Streptophyta; Magnoliopsida; Caryophyllales; Amaranthaceae
Exons: 2
Source: RefSeq, a predicted model, not a curated record